CUACGUGCCAGCAGCCGCGGUAAUACGUAGGUGGCGAGCGUUGUCCGGAAUUAUUGGGCGUAAAGGGAGCGCAGGCGGGCGAGUAAGUCUUUCUUAAAAGUGCGGGGCUCAACCCCGUGAGGGGAGAGAAACUACUCAUCUUGAGUGCAGGAGAGGAAAGCGGAAUUCCUAGUGUAGCGGUGAAAUGCGUAGAUAUUAGGAAGAACACCAGUGGCGAAGGCGGCUUUCUGGACUGUAACUGACGCUGAGGCUCGAAAGCCAGGGGAGCGAACGGGAUUAGAUACCCCGGUAGUCCUGGCCGUAAACGAUGGGUACUAGGUGUAGGAGGUAUCGACCCCUUCUGUGCCGGAGUUAACGCAAUAAGUACCCCGCCUGGGGAGUACGACCGCAAGGUUGAAACUCAAAGGAAUUGACGGGGGCCCGCACAAGCGGUGGAGUAUGUGGUUUAAUUCGACGCAACGCGAAGAACCUUACCAGGUCUUGACAU
RNAcentral lists this ribosomal RNA (487 nucleotides) under uncultured bacterium. RNAcentral's name for it is "bacterial SSU rRNA". It matches the Rfam family "Bacterial small subunit ribosomal RNA", at positions 501 to 987 of the family's 1533-position model. The record is from RNAcentral.